GAUGAAGAACGUAGCGAAACGCGAUAGGUAAUGUGAAUUGCAGAAUUCCGUGAAUCAUCGAAUCUUUGAACGCACAUUGCGCCCGCCAGUAUUCUGGCGGGCAUGCCUGUCUGAGCGUCAUUUCAACCCUCAUGCCCCUAGGGCGUGGUGUUGGGGAUCGGCCAAAGCCCGCGAGGGACGGCCGGCCCCUAAAUCUAGUGGCGGACCCGUCGUGGCCUCCUCUGCGAAGUAGUGAUAUUCCGCAUCGGAGAGCGAUGAGCCCCUGCCGUUAAACCCCCAACUUUCCAAGGUUGACCUCAGAUCAGGUAGGAAUACCCGCUGAACUUAAGCAUAUCAAUAAGCGGAGGA
Molecule: unclassified non-coding RNA, 348 nt
Filed under: soil metagenome
Description: partial contains 5.8S ribosomal RNA, internal transcribed spacer 2, and large subunit ribosomal RNA
Rfam family: 5.8S ribosomal RNA (bases 1-120)
Source: RNAcentral